Bacteroidetes bacterium GWA2_30_7 is the source of this 336-nucleotide non-coding RNA. The record is from Rfam. Lineage: Bacteria; Pseudomonadati; Bacteroidota.
GCUGUUCGCCGAUUAAAGUGGCACGUGAGCUGGGUUCAGAACGUCGUGAGACAGUUCGGUCCCUAUCUGUGGUGGGCGUAGGAGAUUUGAGAGGUCCUGACUCUAGUACGAGAGGACCGAGUUGGACAAACCUCUAGUGUACCUGUUGUGGCGCCAGCUGCAUCGCAGGGUAGCUAAGUUUGGACGGGAUAAGCACUGAAAGCAUCUAAGUGCGAAGCCUCCCUCAAGAUGAGAUCUCCUUUAAGGGUCGUCGAAGACUACGACGUUGAUAGGCAGUAUGUGUAAAGACAGUAAUGUCAAAGCUGAGCUGUACUAAUUACCCGUAAACUUACUUUC